This 24194-nucleotide long non-coding RNA is filed under the name Cicer arietinum (chickpea). Its description in RNAcentral is "long non-coding RNA (CARI_LNC000581)". The record is from RNAcentral. Lineage: Eukaryota; Viridiplantae; Streptophyta; Magnoliopsida; Fabales; Fabaceae.
UUAUUCUUAAGUUACAAUGAGAAAAUAAUGUUACAAUGAGAAAAUAAUAUCUAAUGGUUGGGUGAUGAGUACUAAAUGACAUAAACUAAUUUUCUUGCCUAAAACAAACAUGACAAUUUUAGUGAUAAAAAUUAAUGUAGCGAGUUGAACAAAAUAAUAUGACAUGAAACAUGAUAAUAAAAAGGCAAGUUUAAGUGAAAGAUGGUUCAUCAUAUAACAAAAGACAGGGGCGGAGCUUCCUUGGGACUAAGGGGGGCCGCGCCACCCCAAAAAAAAAAAAUUAUAAGUACAAUGACUAAAAUGUCCAUUUUAAAAUUAAAAAAUUACAAAACAUACCUAAACCUAAUUCAGUUUUCUGUUUAUUUCUCUCUCUUCCAUCCAGCCUUCCUCUCUCCCUCUCUCUCUUUUGCUUACAAGUUCCAGCCUUCCUCUCUCCCUCCUCCAUAAUCAGAUUCAUGAAUCAAGACAAACGUGCGGUCGUCUCUCUACGACAAUCGCUCGUCUGCUCGCUCACGAAAUCGCUCGCUGCGGCCAAUCGUUCGUCUGCCUGACUGCCUCUGUCCGUGGCCAUUCGUCGCUGCCUCUCUACUCGCCGCAACCUCAUCAGUCAUCUGUCUCUAGAUCUUGUUGCUGCUUUGUUCAAAAUGUUCGAAUUUCUAUUUUGUUAUUGCUGAUUUUUGUUAGUUAGUGUCGAUUUUUGUUAGGUUUGAUAUUUUUUAGCAUAAAAUUUAAAACUUAUAUUGUUAUUGUUGAGUUUAGAGUUUUGAUUUGGAGUUUGAAAUUUUGAUUUGGAGUUUUAAUUAGCAGAUUUUUGUUUAGAGUUUUUGUGUUGCACAUAAGGUGUUUGAAUUUAUGUCAGUAUAAAGUGUUUGAGUUUUUUUUUGUCUCACAUAAGGUGUUUGAUUUUAUGUGUUUGAUUUUUUUUUUUGCAUACAAAGUGUUUGAGUUUUGUUGCAUUUUUGUUUGAGUUUUUUUGUCUAUAUAAAGUGUUUUAUUUAUUUUUUUUGAAUAUAAGAUGUUUUAUGUUUAUUAAAUUGAUUGAUUUAGAUAAGUUUGUGAGAAUGAAGAAGAGUAGAAGAAUUGAUUAUUUUUUCAUGAGGAAAAUUUGUGAGAGUGAAUUAUGUCAGCCACUCCAAAUUUUUCAGUCAAGUUCCGCCAUUGACAAUAGAUCAUACUUUAUUUAAUAUAGUAAGUGGGAAACAAAAUAAUUCAUAGAUGCAUGUUUCUAGUUUUCAUGGAGAUUCCAUGUUUCAAUGUCCUCUUUUCCUAGGUUUAUUACCAUUUUCUCCUUCACCUUUGUCUCCGUUAUCGUGGUUUCCUCCAUUGUCGUCUUCUUCAACGGGUGGCUCACUAUCGUGGUAUCCCAUGCCACCAAAGUUGUAUAUCAUGCUCUGUACCCAUUCUGAUGCCCAACCCAAUGCCAAAUCUCUCAAAGUUCUCCAAUCUACAAACCUUCUUAUUAAAGUACUAUAUUCGGAUUGCUCAGCUGCCACAAUAGUCAUAAGAAGGGGAACACAUAGAAAGAAUACUAAGAUAAAAAAUUUUGUUUUCAUCCCUUGCUUAAAUUUCUUAAAGUUUCUUGUAAAAUAUGAAUAAUAUCCUCAAAUAUUUAUAGUGAUCACGCAUAGAAAAAAUAAGAUAAUUUUAAAAGACAAAAACAUAUUGAAGAAAAUUAUAUUGCGUACUAAAAAAAAAGACAAUAUGUAUUCUAUGGCCAAUUGCGAAGACAAUGGGUCAUCAAGAUCCAUAGAGCCAUGGAAAAGUUAAAUAAAUUAGAACAUGUUUGCCUUUUGGAUCAUGAUAAUUUGACGAUCAAAGAGACGUUUUAUCCAAUUAAUCUUUUCUAAAAAGUUGCUUUUGGUAAAAUUGUUUCAGAAAAUAGAAUUUAAAACUAGGGAGUUGUAAAAUUUGACUUCCUAAUAAAUUUAGGAUUAAAGUGAUGUAAUGUCCAAUUAAUUCUAAAUGAAUGAUUUAUUUUGACUAUUAAAUGUUUUAAUAUUGGAAUAUUAAAUUUUUAGUAUCUAAAAAAUUUUGAAAUUUUAAUUUUAGUACUUAUUAAAAAAAAUUAUAUUUUUUAGUUUCUACAAAAUUGUUAUGUAAACAGUUUAAUUUAUACCAUAUUGGAACAUCAAUAUAAAUAUUUAAAUACUUUUUUUUUUGCAUACAUGCUGACAUUAUAAAAAGUUCAACAUAAAAAAUGAUAUCAAAAUUCAAUUUCUAGAUCUAUAUUUUAAAGACUUUUAUCUUAAAUAGACGACGUUUAAUUAAUUCAUCCCAAAUUAAAAAAAAAUUAUAUGAAUUAAUUUUUAAUAAUAUUCUAAACAUGCUUACAAUAUUAUUCAAAUAUUUAAAAGUUGAAGAAUAUUUUAUUUCAUCAGAGACUAAAAUAAUUUGAUUAAUAAUUUUAUAGGAAUUAAAAAAAAUGUAUGCAUACAUAAAAAAAUAAAAAAUUAUCAUCUUGGUUCUAAGAACACAACUAAAACAAAUCAAACGAUAACUUCUCGUUUUGAUUAUGAGUUAUAUUUGGUAUUUGUAAUAUUUUAUUUUAUUUUUACAUCUUACCUUAUUAUGAGUUGAUAUAAUUAUUCUGUAAAUUAUUGGUGAUAAUUAUUAUUGUAAUGUGUUAUUUUAAUUUUUAAUAAUAAUAAUAAUAAUAAUAAUAAUAAUAAUAAAAAAGGGAAUCGUUAAAAACAAAUUUCAGACGCUGGAAAUACACGUUUCCCAUUUAAUAUCACGUUUUCUAUUUAAUACCAUCCCUUUAAUACACGUCCCCAUAUAAUAACACACGUUACCCACUUCUAAUGAUAAAAAAGGAAUAAAACAAAACAUAAAAAGAAAUAAAACAAAAACGGGUUUCAGGGAGAAAAAGAAAGAAAUUCAAGAACUAAAUGAGUUACUGAUUCAUCCCUCAAGUAUAACACAUUUGAAGCAAAGACCACUGCGUGAAAAUUUUAAUUACGACACUCAUAUUGAUAAGGGGCAUGACUCCAUCCGCUUUUCUAAUUGAAUUAUUGUUUGUGUGUUAUAUUCGAAAUGAAUAUUAAUAAUUGUUGUGUUUGACAUGUUCAAAAUGUGGAAAAUAAAUGUUAUGUGAUAUGUUGUUAUAAUGGUUGUGUUGAGCAUAUUCAUAGUGUGAAGAAUAAAUGUUAUGUGAUAUGUUGUUAUAAUGGUUGUGUUGAACAUAUUUAAAGUGUGGAAAAUAAAUGUUAUGUGAUAUGGUGUUAUAAUGUUGUGUUAAACAUAUUCAAAGUGUGAAGAAUAAAUGUUAUGUGAUGUGUCGUUGAUAAGUUAGUAUCGCAUUAUAUUUUAUUAGAGUGUACACGAAGCCCUUGCGGGGGAAGCGAUAUUUCGGAAUCAUUAUAUAGAUUAAGUAAUAAGGUUUGUUGGAUAUGCAUUAAUUAAACUGUAGUGUGACUAGUGUUUUGUAAAGAUAACUGAUACAUUGUAUCUCCUGGUUUUUGUGAAUUAAAGUUAUAAAAAAUGUGAUAUUGUAUCUCCUGGUUUUGAGUGAAUUAACGUUAUUAAAUAUGUGAUAGUGUACUUCUAUAUCUUAUUAUUAAUUAGGUAGAUAUGGUAAUGUUAUAUUUGUAUUGUCAAUGUGGUUAGUCGUUUGAGUGAAUUAAUGUUAUUAAUUAUGCAAACAUUGUACUGUUAUCUUUUCAUUGUUAUUAUAUCUUUAAUGCGUUGUGAUUUUUAAUUGUUAAAUGGAGUACAUGAUUUACUUAUAUUUUUGCUAUAACAACUAUAUAUGCAUGCAUAUUUGCUAUGUGUUUGUUAUUUUGAGAUGACCCUUAUAUUUGACAGGACGUUACAUAUAGUGCUAUGUGUUUGUUAUAUUUUCAUUGUUAUUAUACCUAUUGGUGCGUUUUGAUUUUUAACUGUUAAAUGAAGUACAUGAUUUAUUUAUAUUUUUGCUAUGAUAUCUCUAUAUGCAUGCAUAUUUGCUAUGUGUUUGUUAUUUGGAGUUGACCCUUACAUUUGACAGACUUGUUGGGUUAGCUUACCAAAAGUCCGAAGUUUAUGACCAACUGAAUUUAUGCUUGGGUAGUAAAAUAUCAACAGUUUUGGCUAUAGGAGUCUCUUUUGUUUAAUAUAUUAAAUUUAAAUUGUAAAUAUUUUGAUUCUUUAUUUUUGAAAAUAUAACUAAAAAUAUUAUUAAAUGAUUUUAAGAUAAAUGAGUAUUUAAAAUAAUUACAAAUGAAUAAAAGCAAAUUUGUAUUUUUACGUAUAGAAUUUUGUUAGUUAAUGUCCCGAAAAAGCAGGAUGUUAGUCUUGGUUAGCAUCCUUCUAAUCUGCUGUUGGGGAAUUCCUUGUGCCUUCAUUUUAUUGAAUGGAUUUUUCUUUGUCCGAAGAAGAACAAACCAUUGUUGAGUGUUUGCCGUUAUAACCAAUUAUUAAAAUAGAGUAAUAUUAAUGGAAAUGCACAAUUGCUCCUGCGAUCCCUUAACUUAAUUUUAGAUAACACUUUAAUUUUUUUUAAUUGGUCUUUUAUUUAAUAUUAUUACAAAAAUUCGAAAAUAUAAAGAAUGAAAAUAUGAGUUUAUUUAAAGAUUUAAGAUAUUUCAUCGACGUUGUUUCCAUAAAUUAUGAUCUCAUCAACAUAUAUCACUAAGGCAGUAAAGGACGAGCAAAUGGAUUUAAUGAAUAAAGAAUGAUAUGAAUUAGAUUGAGUAUACUCUUUUGAAAUGAGAGUGGAGGAAAGUCUAGCAAACCAUUGCUUACUAGACUAUUUUAAACCAUAAAGAGGUUUUUGAAGUUUACAAACAAUAUUUGGAUUAUGAGCCAAUAACCCAAGUAACAAUUGCAUAUAGACUUCCUCUUCUAAAUUGCCAUGUAAAAAAGCAUUGUAAACGUCUAACUUAUGAAAAUGUCAAUUAUGAGAUGAUACAAGAGCAAGUAAGAGUCUUACGAUAAUGAGCUUAGCUAAAGUGAAUAAGUAUCAAAAUAAUCAAUUCCUUCAAUUUGGUUAAAACAUUUGGCAACAAGGCGUGCCUUAUAAUGUAUUAUAGAACCAUCAGCGUUAUAUUUUACCUUAUAAACCCAUCGACAACCUAAGGGCUUUUUAACACGUGGCAACUUAGUAAGAGUCCAAGUGUUGACUGAUAGAUUGCAUGGUCUGAACCUAAUUAUUAUAUGUGACAACUUGUUUAAAGCUAGUAGGGUCACGAACAACAGAAAUAAAGGAAAUAAAAUGAUAGAAAAAUUAUGACAAUUUUGACUAAGAUAAGACCUGGUAUAAACGAACAACAGAAAUAAAGGAAAUAAAAUGAUAGAAAAAAUAUGACAAUUUUGACUAAGAUAAGACCUGGUAUAAAUGAUACAAUAUAUUGGACUUAUGGCACCUAUCAUGUGCAAAAUUUCACUCAAAAUCUUGUAAGUAAGCAGGGACCUUGUUAGACCUUGAAGACCUACGAAUAGUAUCUUGAUGCUCAUCAAAAUCAAAGAUAGGGGAAGUAUGUAAAUUGUUGGGACUAGUAUCAAGACUAGAUGAAGGAGUUGGAGCAAAUAUAAUACUAUCAUCAGUGGAGUUAUUAACAUAAACAAUUAUUAGGCAAAAGCAUAUUAGUAUCAUCAAACAGAAUAAAGGAAUCGUGAGAAUCAUCAUUAAUAUGCAAGGAAGUAGAAUUAAGAUUAACAUAUGGAAAAACAUAUUCAUAAAAAUCUACAUUCCUAGAAACAAAGGUGACAUGGGUAUGUAAAUCAAACAUCAAAUAACUUUUAGUUCCUUAUCUAAAUCCAAGGAAAAUACACUUGGUGGCCCUUGGAUAAAGUUUAGUGCUAUAAUCACUACGCGAAAAAACGCAUUUUACAGCGCUUUUUUUAAGCCAUUUACAGCGCUUUUUCAAAAAAAUAAGCGCUGUGGAAACGAGCGCUGUAAAUGAUACAACAACGCUUUUAAAAAAGCGCUAUAAAACAUGUAAAUACAACGCGCGCUUGUUAUGCACAUUUUACAGUGCUUCUUCACAAAAAGCGCUGUAAUAUGCACCCCAUUAUAUGAGUUAUGGGUGUUCAUUUUACAGCAAAGCGCUCUAAAAUGCACACCCAUAACUCAUAUAAUGGGGGGCAUAUUACAGCGCUUUCUCAAACAAGCGUUGUAAUAUGCCCAACCAUAAUUUCAUAUAUGGGUGGGCAUAUUACAGCGCUUUUUUGAGAAAGCGCUGUAAAAUGCCCACCCAUAAUUUCAUAUAUGGGUGUGCAUAUUACAGCGCUUUCUCAAAAAAGCGCUGUAAAAUGCCCACCCAUAAUUUCAUAUUAUGGGUCUGCAUUUUACAGCGCUUUUCUUGUACAUUUUACAGCGCUUUCUCACGAAAGCGCUGUAAAAGGUGCACCAUUAAAGCGCUUUAGAACAACAUUUUACAGUGCUUUGUAAAAAAAGCGCUGUAAAAUGUGUGUUUUUUUUUUUUAAACGUUGUAAAUUAAUUAUUUGAAACGAAAAACGCUUUUUAGCUUUUUAUGGCAUUUUUUUUAAAAAGCGCUGUCUUUUAUCUUUGUAUCCAAAAUUAUUUUGAUCCAAAAUCACUUCACAAUCAGUGCACACAACAACAAAACAUAUUCAAAUACCAUAAGCAGUUCACACAAUCAGUAGAACAGAAAUCAGAACUCUGUAACUUUAUUAAUAUAUAUGUAACUCUGUAACUCUGUAAUUUACAACCUAAUUAACUACAUUCAGAUACGUAUAUAUAUAUAACCUAAUUUACAACCUAAACUACAUUCAGAUCCAUAUGCAUGUUCAUAUAUUGUGUCCUAUGAUCAUUUACAUAUAAUAACUAACAGAAUAUACAUUAUAUGCACUAGCUACCAUAUAAUAUUCAGAUCCCUUGCCCAGCAGCAAGCUAUUUCCCAGAAAAUCAAAUAAUUUUCAUGUCAAGCACGUACUGACACCAUUCUUCCUUUAAUUCCAUCAGAUCUUCCUCAGAAUAUGAUGGACUGGAAUUGGCAAAGUACUGCAAUAUAAAAAUUGAACAUAUUAUAUUAAGUUAGUAUCAAAUAUAUAGAUAAUUUAUAUAUGAAAAUCAUAUAAUGCAAAUACCGUACCGUUUCUGGGAUAAUAGUUUUAUUCUUCUCAACAAUCUCCUUCAUGAAUCUCAAUACGUAGUACCCACAGUCGAUGUUAUUUGUUUGACGAGGGCACUUUAUUGAGAUCCAUGUAAUGUUAUUAGACUUCUGCUUCGACACUUUAGCACCUCUUUGAGCUCGAUAAACUUUUAAGGCACUAUCGAAUGAAUAAAUGUGAUUAUUAGAGCAUGAAUAUUUAAAUAUAUAUAUAUGUAAGAAAUAAAUGAAUAUUACUUACGUGUCGAGCAUAUUCUUUAUUCCGGGGUGAUUGGUGUAAUCGCCGUGCACGGGAUCCAAAUAGUAUAUCACUUCAGAGACCGCAUUGAUUGCAAAUAGCACCCAAUGUGCCCUACAACAACAAAAAAUUGGUUAAGCAAUUUUGUUUAUAGACAACUAAUAAAUUAAAUUCUCAUCAAUUAAAAAAGAUAAAAUUACGUACCCUGAAUUAUAUGGUGCCAAGAACAAUUUAUCACUUUCUUUAUUUCUUAAAAACAUAUCUACAAUGUAGUGUUUUACAUUGUCUGGAUCGAGUUUGAACAUCGACAUCUUAUGCGGAGACAAGAAUGAGUAUUUAUUUGACAGUUUCCUCGUGCACACGACCUUCUCGUACAAAAACCUUCAAUGAAAAUUUUAAACUAGAUUAAUUACCAAUACAUUUAAUUAAUUACAAAUAAAUGCAAUUAAAAGUAUUUUUUACCUUAUGUACAAGCUGAUUACAGUAACACUCAGCUCCUUAUGUUCGAGAAGAUCGUACAUUUGCUCCUUUUCGAGGUAUUCAAUAUACUCAUCUCCAAAGAUGUCUUGAUUCAUUUGUACAAUGGGCGAAUCGUUGCUGCUGCCCAUGUUCCUUUUUAUUUGGAUGUCAAGACACGCCCCGUAUUUACCAAGGCGUGGCUGACUUUUAUUAGGAGCAGCAGCAGCAGCGACCGAUUUUCCCCGAUCCAGAUUUUUUGUUGCUGCAAGUUUUGCAGCUUUAUUACCCUCCAGCCUUUGUAGUUUGGCAGCCCUAUUAACCUCCAAUUUUUGAGGUCUGCUGCCUUUUUUUGGCUGUAGGGGUGGUUUAUUUAUUUGGACCUACAAAAAUGAGGUAAAAUGUUAGUUUAUUGAAUCUGAAAAAAUAAAAAACCUUAGGCAAUAAAUGUGACAAACCUUUUCGGGAGAUGUAACUGAUUUGUCCUUGGGAAUCUUUUUUUCGAGGGCAACAAGGUGUGUGGGCCAUGCCACGUAACUGCCAAUAGCGUCGCUUAAGAACUUCAUAUCUCCAUCGUUGUCCGGUAUGGGCAACGGUGCAGUUGGUUCGAAAGCAACCGUAGGCGAUACUUUGACAUGGCCCGCGGGGAUCGGAAUAUUGUGCAAUACUUCUCCCGAAGUAUUGUGCAAUAUUCCUUUUCCCACCUUCCGUUGAGUCGGCGAGGACAAGUAUAGGACACAUGUAGUGACACCCUACAUCAAUAGUUAAAACAUAAGUACAGUUAAUAUAUAAGUUUGUUUAAUACAUAAGUAAUUACAUAAGCAAGUAAGUAGUAAGUAAUUAAUUACCUCGGGAAUACUCUUCAAACCGACGUUGCAACUCCCGGUUUCACUCUCCAUUUGUAUUUCAGGUUGGAGCUGAACCGGAAGUUGCUUGUCUUUAUUCGUAUUCACCAAGAGUGCCACUUGCUCCGAUAAGAUUCUGAGCUUCUCUAAUACUUCCUCGUUGGAAGGUUUUUGGCGCUUCUCUUGAGGAAAAAAGCUUUUGGGAGUUACGCCAAAUCCUUUCCCCCUCACUCGACCGGAAUACUCAGGGACAUUAAACACUUUCCCAAGAAUGUCCCUGCACGUAUCCUUGUUGCCCUCUUGAGUUUCAGAACUUUGUUCAAUAGUUUCCUAAAAUACAUGUAACAUUAAAAAGAUAAGUUCAAUAGCAUUUUUAAAAUACAAUAUUAAAAAAUAUUAAAGUGAUAAUAUACUUACACAAAGUUCUACAACUUUCUUGACAUUUUCAUUAUCAACCACUCCUUCUUUGUUAACACGCGCUUCCUUCCAUAAGAUAUGACGACCCAAGGGUUGAUCGGCUUGGGUGUCUUUUCUCUAUUCGUUAAAAUCAUAAACAAAAUAAUACAAAUUAGUUACACACUAUAGUUUAUAAUACAAAUUACAAGUGAUGUUUAAUUACUUACAAUUUUUUGUUCAAGGCGUGCAUAUCCCAUACGUGAUUUCUUGUAUGGGUGUUUUGGGUUGCUUGCCCGUUCGCGAUUUGCCGUACUAAUAUUCUAUAUAAAAAAAAAAUUGCAAUUGUGUAAAAAUUUAAAAUACGCUACGAAUAUGAAUAAUAAAACACAAAUGCUAAUAAAUUAAUAACUUACGACAAACGCCGGGUCAGAACGUUUGGAAACAAAUGCACUCCAUUCAUCCUUUGAUAUAUAAUGUUGAUAUAUCUUUGGAGGUUCAGCAUUUGUGUUUCCUUCUCUAUCUUUUAGAUAGAAAUUUGAGAGAUGGGAUCUAAAUCCACGAUGGAUUUUCCCAGCAACUCUCAAAACAUAUGACUUUCGUUCCUCAUCAAGAACAAAAGUGGUCUGCAAUGAAAACAAUUAUAAGUAAUGUAUUUUACAGAAAAAAAAUUAUAAAUGACAAAAGAGUAGAUCAAAAUAUUUACUUGAAUGUCAUUCCAGAUGAUAUCUUUGGCAUCCUUCAACGCCUUAUCUCUCCAGUUGUCUAUUGUUAUUGGGACAUUUUGACGAACAACAGCCCCAAUGUAGCUUACAAACAUGGAGCUGUUGGGGUCAACUGGCUGACCACUCUCGUUCCAGCCAACCUAAUAAACUCAUAUAGUAAGUACAUGCCCUAAACCCUAAAAAAAGAUAAAAAAACACACAGCAAACAGAGUAUAUAUAGUAUACCUCAAAUUUAAUGCCACUGCUCCGUGCUUUAAUCACCCUUUGCAUGAUAGUUGCACCACGUUUGACUUCUUUUUCGUAAGUCUUAGAGGUGCCAACUUCUUCAUUUUGAACUUCUAAAUCUUUGUUUGUAUCCAUUUAACUACAACAAGUUCAACAUGCACUUUAGUAUAACAUCAACAAGCUCAACAUGGAUCAUGCAUUAUUAUAAACAAACUCAACAUGUAUCAGUAUAUCUUAAAAAAGCUCAACAUGCAUUUUAAUGAUUACAAAAAAUUUAUAACAUCAAUACCUGAAUAAUGGUUCGAAGAAAGAUGAAAUCUAAAGAAAAGAGGGAACGCAGAAAGUUCACAGAAAUAUGGUUCAAAGAAAUAGGAUAUUGAAGAAAUACGUAAUGAGGGUUACGUAUUUCAAUGAAAAUAUAUUGUGUGAAAUGGGAGAGAUGAUCUUGGAUGGAAAUAAGGUUCGAAAUGAAGGAGAUGAUCGUGGAAAUAAGGUUCGUAAAGGACGGGAUGAUAGGGUUUGCAAAAGAAGAGAAGAAAUGAAGGUUGAGAUGACAAUACCUGAAUAAUGAUGGUUCGAAGAAAGACGAAAUGCAAAGAAAAGAGGGUUUGCAGAAAGUUCACAGAAAUAUGGUUCAAAGAAAAGAGGGAACGGUAUUGAAGAAAUACGUAAUGAGGGUUACGUAUUUCAAUGAAAAUAUAUUGUGUGAAAUGGGAGAGAUGAUCUUGGAUGGAAAUAAGGUUCGAAACGAAGGAGAUGAUCGUGGAAAUAAGGUUCGUAAUGGACGGGAUGAUAGGGUUUGCAAAAGAAGAGAAGAAAUGAAGGUUGAGAUGAUAGUGAAAGACCUCCUUGUGUUAUUAUGUUAUUUGAAUACCUUUUACAGCGCUUUUACACAUAAGCGCUCUAAAAUGUCUCUUUAUCUUAAUUUUAAGAGGCUCUUUUACAGCGCUUUUCCCAAAUAAGCGCUGUAAAAGAACUCCGUGUGUUAUUAUGUUAUAUGAAUGUUUUUUAAAGCCUUUUACAGCGCUUUUCCACAUAAGCGCUCUAAAAUGUCUCUUUAUGUUAAUUUUAAAAGGCUCUUUUACAGCGCUUUUUCCAAAUAAGCGCUGUAAAAGGCCUUAUUGUUUUUGUGUUUUGUUAUGUUAUGUUAUUUUUUAAACAAGCUCAACAUGCAUGCAAAACCCACAUAGUAGUAACUGGUCACCACAAAAAUCCCUUCCUCUUCACCAAACUCUUCUCCUUUUAUGCAUCUUCUUCACAAACAUCAAAGCUUACUCUUUCACAAUUCAAUCUCCACCUCAACACCCUUUUUAUCUCUUUACAUUCUCUUUCCUUCUUAAAUCGAAACUUAAUUGGUAUUCAGGAUCAUUGCCAUGUUGCGAAAAAUGGGUUUGUGUCUGGUGUUUUUGGGGAUUCCCAUGAUGCGUACAAGGUGUUUGAAGAAAUGGGUUUGUGUCUGAUGUUUUUUGGAUUCCCAUGAUGCGUACAAGGUGUUUGAAGAAAUGGGUUUGUGUCUGAUGUUUUUUGAAUCCCAUGAUGCGUACAAGGUGUUUGAAGAAAUUAGGUGUCUGAUGAAUAUUAUUUUUAAAGCCAUUUUACAGCGCUUUGGCAAACAAGCGCUGUAAAAUGUCUUUUUUACUCACUUUCAAAAGAGUCGUUUACAGCGCUUUGUGUGAAAAGCGCUGUAAAAGGUAUAAAACACUCAUUAUUUUAUUUUUAAAAGGAUCUUUUACAGCGCUUUUUAAGAUAAGCGCUGUAAAAUGUCUCUUUAUUUUAUUUUUGUGUUUGGUUUAUUUGGGUUGGGAUGACAUUAAAAACAUUUUUAUCAUUGUUUAUUGGAUUAAAAAUAUUGUUAUCAUUGUCUUUAUCACAAUACUUUAGGAGAUGAUGAAUUAUUAGAAAUGAGUAUUCUGAAGAAUCUAUAUAUAUAUAUGCACUGAGCAAAAGAGAAUCUCUCUAUUCAGUUCAGUUCAGUUCAUGUAAAUUACUAAUUUAUAUUCAGUUCAGUUCAUGUAAAUCAAGCUAAAUAUAAAACACUCAUUGUUACAUGAACUUGGUAUAAAACACUCAAAUCAAGCUAAAUAUAAGCAGAAAAUAAAUUAAUCAGAAAAUAAAUUAAUCAGAACUUAGUAUAAAACACUCAAUUCAGAUUACAUGCAUAUUUACAAUAACACAGUUCAGAUUACAUGCAUAGCUUAUAUAAAACAAUUAAACAUAUAUAUACAUUAAGAUGCCCUUCUUCUUUUCCUGGUGACAUUCACAUUUGUUUGUCCAUUUACAAUACGAAACGAUGGAUUAAUCCAAAUUCCCUCAUCAUGAUCAUCUCUAAGAUAUAAACCAUCAUCAGUUGAAUCAAUUUCAUGUGGUUGUUGUGAUGUUGCAAAUAAAAGAUCAUUACCAACAUCUUCAUCAUUAUUGUUAUCAUCACUUAUUUUAUUGGUCGAUAGGACAACAGACCAUUUAUCAUUAGAAGGAUCAGUGACAUAAAACACUUGUUGAGCUUGCGACGCUAAAAUAAAAGGCUCGUCUUUGUAUCCCACCCUAUUAAAAUCGACAAGCAAGAAUCCUGACUCAUCAAUCCGAACGCCAUUAUUAUUAUCGACCCACUUGCAACCAAAUAUGGGAACACGAAACAUUGUGUAGUCUAACUCCCAUAUGCGCUCGAUAACCCCAAAAUAUGAUAGAUUUGCAUAUAUUGGGUUUUUGUCUUUUGCACUUGAGACAUGCAUCGCUUCAGCUACGAGAGUGACUCCACUAUUUUGCAUAGUGGUCUGAUCAUCUUGUUCUUUGGUAUAAAAUGUGUAGCCGUUAAUAACAUAACCAGUGUAAGAAAAGACAUGUAAGCUCGGACCAUUUGCUAGCCACCUCAAUCUAUUUGAAAUUGAUCCGGGGUCUAUAUCAAAUUUUGACAUUAUGUGAUUUUUUAACCAUGUUACAAAACUUCGAUUGUGCUCUCGAGUUAUCCAAUUUUGAUUCCUAUUCAUGUUCAAACGAGAUAACUGAUCAAUGUGUAUUGUAACAUACGGUUGAACCUCAUCAUCAUUGUGCAGAACAUACAAUUGUGCCUGCUCCCAUUCUGUCCUUGAUAUAGUCAGUAGUCUCCUUCCAGUUAUCCCUUCUCCUGAUAGUCUUCCCGAAUGACGAGACAUGGGAAGCCCUAUGGAUUCAACAUUGGACAGAUAUUCAGUACAAAAUUCAGCAGCCUCUUCAACAAUGUAUCGUUCAGCAAUACAACCUUCUGGUCGACUUCUACUUUUUACGUACCCUUUUAAUAUUUUCAUAUAUCGUUCUAUCGGAUACAUCCAUCUCAUAUAAGCUGGCCCACAAAGUUGUGUCUCCUUAACCAGAUGAACAGUAAGGUGAACCAUUAUAUCAAAAAACGAUGGUGGGAAAUACAUUUCAAGCUCACACAAAGUAACAACAAUUUCCCUCUGCAAUGUCGGUAAUUUCUGAGGGUCGAUCACUUUACUACAAAUUUCCCUGAAGAAGAAACAUAAUCUAGUUAAGGCUAGUCGAACUUUUUCAGGUAAAAUGGAACGUAUACCUAUUGGUAGCAAAUGCUCCAUUAUAAUAUGACAAUCAUGGGUCUUCAAACCUUUUAACUUGAGGUCUUUCAUACAAACCAAAUUUUUAAUGUUCGAAGAGUAUCCUUCUGGAACUUUAACUUCGUGUAGAAAUUUACAUAAAACAAUUUUUUCCUUUCUAGAUAGAGUAUGAGCGGCUGGAGGUAGAUAUGUGCGAUUUCCUUUCUUUACUGGAGCCAGUUCAUUUCUUAUUCCCAUAUCGACCAAGUCCAAUCUUGCAUUGACGCCAUCUUUAGACUUUCCUGGAACAUUGAGUAACGUACCAAUAACACUUUCAAAUACAUUUUUUUCAAUAUGCAUCACAUCGAGGAAAUGUCUUACAUACAAUGACUUCCAAUAUGGCAAUUCAAAGAAAAUUGACUUUUUCUUCCACCCAGUUUUCACCAGCUCUCCCGCAAAAGGUUUGCCAAAUUUAUUGGUCAAACCUUGUACUUUUUCAAGUAUUUGAUAUCCAGUCGGUGCUAAAGGAGCUUUACCUUCCUCUGAUUUUCCAUUGAAUGCAUUUCUCCACCCACGAUACUGAUGACUAUAAGGUAAAAAUCUACGAUGUCCAAGAAACACAUUCUUCUUACAAUGUUUCAACCGCAUCCAAUUUGUACUCUCUUCACAUAUAGGACAUGCACACUGACCUUUAAUGCUAUAUCCUGAUAAAUUACCAUAUGCUGGAAAAUCAUUAAUUAUGCCGAACAACAUAACCCUUAAAUUGAAACAUUCUUUCUUAUACCCAUCAUAAACUUCCACACCUGUCUCCCACAUACUUUUUAAAUUUUCGAUUAGAGGAGUCAAGUAUACGUCGAUAUCAUUCCCCGGUUGUUUGGGUCCAGAAAUUAACAGAGACAACAUCAUAAACUUACGCUUCAUACAUAACCAUGGAGGUAGGUUAUAUAUUACCAAAAUCACAGGCCACGUGCUAUGUGAGAUGCUUUGAAGACCAUGUGGAUUCAUUCCAUCAGUAGAAAGUGCAAGUCUUAGAUUUCUUGACUCUAUCCCGAAUUCAGGAUACUCGUGAUCAAUUUUUGCCCAUUGUGGGGAAUCUGCAGGGUGUCGAAACAUUCCAUCUCUAAUUCUUUCAUCUGCAUGCCAUGUCAAGUGUUUUGAAUCUUCUUCACUGCGAUACAUGCGCCUAAAUCUUGGUAUUAUAGGAAAAUACCACACGACUUUUGCUGGAGUAGAUUCUUUCUUCUUAUAUCGAGAGACAUUGCAUUUCGGACACGCCUUAAGUAGUUCAUAUUCGUUUCGAAAUAAAAUGCAAUCGUUAGGACACGCAUGAAUCCUUUCGUAACUCAUUCCAAUAGAACACAAAAUCCGUUUAGCCUCGUAGGUCCGACUGGGAAGUUCAUUAUCAUCUGGCAACAUAUCUUUUAUGAGUGUUAAUAAUUCCGUAAAGCUUUUAUCAGACCAUCCAUUACUCGCUUUUAAGUUGUACAACUUUAAUAUCGCUGACAGUCUUGUGAAUUUAGUACAACCAUUAUAUAAUUCUUUCUCUGCAUCACUCAACAAACUUUCAAACAUUUUAGGACAAUCUCGAAGAUCUUCUUCAACUGCUUUUGCAAUCUCAUCAACUCGGUCCGGCUCAUAUGUAUCUGUAUCGAAAUCAGUUGAAGCAUAUGUAGAACUAUUCUCAAAAUUAAUGUUUCCUUUUUUUUUCUCACCAUGUCUUAUCCAACAUGUGUAGCUUUGAUCAAUUCCAUUACAUACUAGAUGUCCUUCUAAUUCAUCUUCUCUAACACGUUUUCCAAAACAACAUUUUAAACAAGGACAAACUACUCUAUUUGGAUCUUUUGCAUUCUUCACUGCAAACUCAACAAACUCCUUCACUCCAAUUUCAUACUCUUUUGACAAUCGAUUGGCUGAAAUCCAUUUCCUAUCCAUAUUAUACCACCUAUAUAAAUGCAGUAACAAAAAUAAUAAGCUUUCAAAACAUAUCAACAAGUUUCAAAAAGAAACCAAUAUCAACUAACAAUUUCAAAACAGAACAGAUCAUGUGGUAUGAGUUUUUGACAAUUUUUGACAAUUUCAAAACAUAACAGAUCAUGUGUAAAAAAUACCUUAGACAACGUAGAUGGCCGCACAGUACGUAGAGGAUAUUAGGGUUCGCAACGUAUAUAAUUAUUUGAAAGAUGUAGAGGAUAUGAGGGUUUCCAACGUAUAUAAUUAUUUUAAAGAUGUAUUUUACAGCGCUUGUGAAAAACGCGCUGUAAUAGGUAGUUAAAUUCAAUGAAAGCGCAUGUGUUUUACAGCGCUUGUGAAAAACGCGCUGUAAUAGGUAGUUAAAUUCAAUGAAAGCGCAUGUGUUUUACAGCGCUUGUGAAAAACGCGCUGUAAUAGGUAGUUAAAUUCAAUGAAAGCGCAUGUGUUUUACAGCGCUUGUGAAAAAAGCGUUGUAAUAGGUAGUUAAAUUCAAUGUAAGCGCAUGUGUUUUACAGCGCUUGUGAAAAAAGCGUUGUAAUAGGUAGUUAAAUUCAAUGUAAGCGCAUGUGUUUUACAGCGCUUGUGAAAAAAGCGCUGUAAUAGGUAGUUAAAUUCAAUGAAAGCGCAUGUGUUUUACAGCGCUUGUGAAAAAAGCGUUGUAAUAGGUAGUUAAAUUCAAUGAAAGCGCAUGUGUUUUACAGCGCUUGUGAAAAAAGCGCUGUAAUAGGUAGUUAAAUUCAAUGAAAGCGCAUGUAUUUUACAACGCUUGUGAAAAAAGCGAUGUAACUGAUACGCGAAAGCGCUUCCUUUUACAGCGCUUUUUUGACAAGCGCUGUAAAAGCCUUAUAACGUGAUGCGCAAACGUUAUAUGACCUACUACAACGCUUGUUUUACAGCGCUUUGAAUCAAAAGCGCUGUAAUAGGUUCCGUUAUUUUUAAAAUAUAAUUACAACAGCGCUUGUGUUUAGCAAGCACUGUAAAAUGGGCGCUGUUAAAUGUCAUUUUUGGCGUAGUGAAUAUAGCAAAGUGGAAGCAAAAGCAAGACAUCAAAAAAACCUUUAAAUACAUAAAGUUAGGAGAUUGUUUAUAUAACCUUUCGAAAUGGGUCUUAUUAUGUAAACAGGAGGUAGUUCACCUGUUAAUAAGAGAAACAACGUGAUUAAUAGCAAAAGACAAAAAAUUCUUUGGUAGUUUAGAGUGGAAAAUAAGUGAUCUAGUCACAUUAAGAAGAUGAGGAUGUUUCCUUUCAACAAUUAAGUUUUCUUGGGGUGUAUCAACACAAGAGGUUUGAUGCAAUAUGCUCAAACUAGAAUAAAAAAGAGGCAUAUUGAAUUCAAGACCAUUAUCAUUGCUGAUUUUCUAGACUUUUGUAUUGAAUUGUAUUUUAACAAAGGAAACAAAGUUUUGAAGGAGCAUAUGAGUUUCAGAUUUAGCAUUCAUUAAAAAUAACCAAGAAAAUCAUGAAUAAUCGUCAACAAUAGUUGGAUAAUAUUGAUGACCAUCAAAAGAAGGAACAUUAAUAGGUCCUCAAAUAUCAACAUGUAUAAGGCUAAAAAUAUGUAAAGAAACAUUUUCACUACGCGGAAAAGGGAUUUUAGCAUUUUAUGCCCAAAUAAAAAGAGUCACAAAUCAUAUUUUUAUUAACUGAAAUGUAAUAAAAUCGUUUACACAUUUGUUGUAACAGGGUUAUUGAUGGAUGACCUAACCUAAAAUGUCAAACAUCAAAUUUAUUUGGUAUAGUGGCAUUAACAAAGGUAGUAUAAUGGUGAUUAGAAACAGGAGCAAAUUCAGUAGAAAAAACCAUAGCAGAGAUAUAAUAUGAUCAAGAAUAUAAAGGCUAUUACAAUGCUCCACAUGUCCUAUCGUCUUAUGGGUAUGCAAAUCCUGAAUUGUAUAAAAAUUCUUAGAAAAUAAUAGUUUGUAAUCCAAAUCAAGAGUGAGUUUUGAAAUAGAUAUUAAACUAAAAUUGAAUUGAUGAAUAAACAACCUAUUUUUCAAGUAAAGAUCAGAAGUAAAGUAAAAAUGUCCUAAAAAAUGCGUAAGAAUAUACGACCCAUUUGGAAAAAUAAUAAAAAUUGGUUCAAUUUGUUUCAUUGAAUAAAAACAUUUGAUAAAUGGACAAACAUGAUCUGAAGCCCCCGAAUCCAUAAUCCAUAGAGAAAAAGGAUUAGAUACGAAACCUGUAUUAGAAAUACUUGAUACUACGUGAUUGGAUUAAUCUGAAAUAGAAUUCUUGGUUUCGAAAGAAGUUACAUCAACAUAUUUAGAAUUAUGUAGCAGAUUAAUCAAAAUAUUAUAAUAUGUUUUGCUAAGAUGAUUGUUGAUUGUUGGAAUCGUGUUGCUGUGUAGGCUAGGAGAGAGAAGGAUUCUUAGAACCAUUUAUUGAAGACGAAUUCAAAGAUUGUUAUUUACGAUAUCAUAGUGGAAAGCCAUGUUUGAAAUAACAUGUGUCUACAAUGUGAUUAUUCUUAUGACAUCGAGUAUAAAACAUGGAGGGCCGAGGCUGACCACGACGAUGAUGGUAUUGCCUGCGACCUUGACCUGAAUUUUUGGAAGUAUUGAUAUUAAAAACAACAUAAGUAUCAGGAGGAUUAUGGUUUGAAUUGGGGACAAGGUCUUAUUGAAAAACGAAAGAAUGCACCUUGUUAAUAUAAGGUAAAGGAUCCAUGAAUAAAAUCUGUGUGUGAAUGUUAUUGUAAUUUUUAUUCAAACCUUUAAGAAAACAAGUGAUAUACUCUUGAUGCUUGAAAUAAUGAACUGUUGUGUUGAGCUUGCAAGAACGAGGAAUAGGGCAUAUGCAUGAUUGUGUUGGGCACAAAUCCUCCAAUUCACCCCAAAGAAUCUUCACAUUGGUGAAAUAGGUAGACAAAGAAUGUUCACCUUGUUUGAUUGAAUGAAGAUCACGAAUUAGAUUGGAAAAUCGAAAAUUAUUUCCUUGAAUGAAACGAUCACGAAGAUCAUACCAUAACUCUAAUGCUGAAUCAAUGCAAAUGGAGAACGUUAAAAACUCAAUAUUGAUUUUGAUUGUGAAAACGGAGAACAUCCUUGGUUCUGGAAACAGAAAAUGGAGAACAUUCUAGGUUAAUUAAAAUCAAUAGUUUAGUUUAUAUGUUUAACUUGAUAAACAAAAGGAUUGAAAGUAAAUAGAGAUAAGAAGAUAGAUGUCACAUAAUGAUAUAUCUUAGUUCACCUAACUCAGGCUAUGUUCAGUGUAACACCCCGUUUUUCAAAGCGAGGGUAUUUUUUUUUUUUAAAAGUAAUUAAAAACGAACGAAGAAAUAAAUCAGGAAAUGCUUUUGGAUAAAUAAUUGAGUCAUUAUAAUUUACGCAGCGGAAAAGUUUCUCCAAUUAUAAAUCCAAAACAUUUUUACAUAAACAUCAAAUGGUACAUGGAACCCAUUCAAAGAUGAUAUCAAACUGAUAAUAUUUAUAUAAGUACAGUUUUCCAAAACUAAAAUACUCCAAACCAAAGAGAAGGACCCCUAGUCCCUAUACAUCAUCCUAAUCUGAUCAUCCUACCAAAAACUAUACACCCUGAGUAAUCUCCACGCGCCCCGUGAGAUCCUCCUAACACAACCGCAGUCAAGCAUUCCCAUCUCCAUCCCUGUCCGUAGGGUACGAACCAGUAGGGCCGUCCUGACUCUCAUCUGAGGGCAAAGCCCAGAUUUCCACAAUAGUGUAAAGGGUCACCAACCAGAAAAUAACAGAUAACACAUAGCAAUUAAGUUUUUGAAUGCUCAAAACAACUUUUCAACUAAGCAUGCACCUUAACAGGAUUUUCAAUGUGCGAAAAGUUCAUACAUUACAUUGCCAAUGAAAAUGAAGGUAAAAUGCAGUUCUCGAUCUCCUAAUUAACACAUGAUAAAACAAGACAUGGAUAGAUUCAUGAGCAAUAAAUCAUACAACUAAAACUGAGGAUUUUCACUGAGCCAAUCGAUUGGGCAAUCGAUUGGGGUGAAGAUUUUUAAUGAAAACAGAAUCCUGGGCUGAAUUCAAUCGAUUGGUAAAUCGAUUGAUUGGUUCCCACAACUUAACACUUAGCAAUUCCUACGCGAUUACUACGACACACGAAGGUUCGAUAACCAUCAUACUCACACACAAUACACAACACAUAGCACUUAACACCUUCAUCUCAGUUAUCACGAUAAAUCAAAAUUCGAAUCACUCAAUCAUAAACUCAAAUCAAACAUGACUCGCGUGCCAGGCACCCUAAUGCAAUGCGUAUAUGCCAAAAUGCAUGGACUCGGAAUUCCAAACCAAAACCCUCCUCGAAGGGCCGUAAAUCAUAAUUGUACCGCCUAUCGCAGGCCAAAGUACCAAUUACCGAGGUGCCACCUAUCACGGGUCAGCACGAUUUACUAAAAUGCGUAAAUCAUAAACGUACCACCUAUCACGGGUCAGUACAGUUACCAUGGUGUCACCUAUCACGGGUCAACUCGAUUUUCUAAAUAGUAACUCGUAAACGUACCACCUAUCACGGGUCAGUACAGUUUACCGAGGUGUCACCUAUCACGGGUCAACACGAUUUACUAAAAGAAAAAGCGGGAAUCGUAAACGUACCGCCUAUCACAGACCAGUACUGUUUACCUAGGUGCCACCUAUCACGGGUCAGCACAAUUCACCAAAAAUGUAAAUCGUAAAUGUACCACCUAUCACGGGUCAGUACAGUUACCAUGGUGUCACCUAUCACGGGUCAACACGAUUUACUAAAAGAAAAAGCGGGAAUCGUAAACGUACCGCCUAUCACAGACCAGUACUGUUUACCUAGGUGCCACCUAUCACGGGUCAGCACAAUUCACCAAAAAUGUAAAUCGUAAAUGUACCACCUAUCACGGGUCAGUACAGUUACCAUGGUGUCACCUAUCACGGGUCAACACGAUUUACUAAAAUGUAAAUCGCAAACGUACAACCUAUCACGGGUCCGUACAGUUUACCAAGGUGUCACCUAUCACGGGUCGACACAAUUUACCAAAUGAAAUGCAUGAGCAUACACAGACUCCAUUCACAACAAUCGUUAAGCAAAUGCAGAUAUUAAAAGAUUCCCCAUUUUUAAUACCCAUUUAACUUAAACGACUUUCAAACAACAUUAAUUAAAUAAGUCAUUAAGAGAUUCCCCGUUCUUAAUACCGAUUUAACUUAAUGAUUUUCAAAACAAAACGUUAAGCAAACAGUCAUAUUAAGAGAUUCCCCAUUCUUAAUACUCAUUUACCGAAACGAUUUUCAAAAACGAUAGUUAAGUAACCGAGACAUUAAGAGAUUCCCCAUUCUCAACGCCCAGUUAACUUAAACAUUUUCCUCAAAUACACAUUAAGUAAACCGAGGUAUUAAAAGAUUCCCCAUUUUUAAUACUCGUUUAACUCUAAUGGUUUUCAAAUUCCACAGAAACAAAUUCAAACAUACUUUCACAUUCAAACCAUAAUUCACAACAACCACACCAAUUAACAAACAUCAAGUACGAACACACCAAAUACAACGAACACAAAUCACGCAACAUAACACCCAGAUACAUCAAAUUUCAUUUACCCAUAAUCAUACACAAUGACAUUCAAAUUCAUUUACCACGAAACAUUCAUCACUAUAAACAAAACCUAACUCUAAGGUUUUUACCCAUAACGCACUAGUUUCGUUUUUCCCCAAAUCGAUACAUUUAACCCUAACAAAUUCCUUCCCACACAACUACAGAUAAGUCCCUAAUGCAAGCUAGAAGUUUGGAAGGAGCCCUUACCUCAACGUUAGCUUUAUCGUGCGUUUCCGGUACCGCGAGAAAUUCCGGUAAAAUCUCCGCUCGCAACGCCGCUUCCAAAUUAGUUCACUAGCACCGUAGCGUGGUGGUGAGCAACUUUCCCUUCUAUCUCUUCGAGAAAUGAGGUUUGGAUCUAGGAGAAACGGAGGGGUUUGUGUUUGGAUCUCAAAACCGUUUUUCUUCGUUUUCGAAUCAAAGAGGAAGAGUGGAGUUGCGAAAACCUUGAUCUAACUCACACCCGACCUUGGGUCACUAGCUUUGAAGAAAAGGAAGCAACGAAAACGAAAAAUGGAGAAGGAUGGAUUUUUGGUUUUUCACGUGAGAUGUUCAGAGGAAGGAGAUGGAAUUCGAGAUUUUCCUUCCUUUCUAUUUCUUUCCUUUGUUUUUCCUUUCUUCCUUUUUCCUUCCUUCCUUUAUAUACUAUUUUCUUUUCCUUUUCCUUCCUUCUAGUUUUCCUUUCUUUUUCCCCCCAAACAAACAUAUAUAAAUAUAAUAAAUAUAACUUAACAAAUAUCUCAAAAUCUAGAUAUUUAUUAAAUUACCGUUUCACCCGAAACGCCUUAAAUUCUUCGUAAAGGAUUUUCCGCAGUUAAAUUCAAUUUAUUUAUCGACGAGAAAUUCUAAUUGGCAUCGAAAUAUCUUUUUGAUUAGAAAACUCCAAAAUAUUAUUAACUUUGGCUUAAAAGCCUCCGAGCCAAAAUCCAAAAUAUACCAAAAAUACAUAAAAGGGUACUUUAAAAUUAUGGGUCUUACAUUCAGUCCUUACAAUUGUGAUAUUUUCCACAAAGCGUUCAAAUGGAGAAAAUUCUUGGUUUUACACAGUUUUGUUCAGAUUAACCUUGAUAUGUAACAACAAUUCAUUUCCACUUAGAAAUGAUUCAAUUAGGUCACUUAUCAAUCUUUAGAGAGGAUUUUACAAUUCACCUUUUAUCCAUAAAAAUGAUUUUCUACAAACUAUAAACAACUAUUAUAGUCUUGAGUUUACAAUAAUGAUUUAAAGAGAUUGGUAGAAUCUGAGUAUGUUCAAAUCGUGUUUGAGAAUACAUUCUUGAUAAAAGAAAUACAUAUAACGGUUCUGAUAUUUUAAAAAGAAAACAUAAUUGAAUCUUUUGUUUAUGAUUGAGAAGUUUUCAAGUAUAUAAGUGUAUGUAAGUGAUGGAUUUCUUAACACUUGAAGUUCUAUUUUUCCUUGAACUUGAGGUUCUUUUUAUAGGCUUCAAGGAGGAUGAUGACAACUACUUUGAUCUUUGGAAAAUAUCCAGCUGUCAUGUGUCAAAUUUGACAAAAUUCGAUAACUUUUAAACCAUGAAUGUUUCUUGACUAGCUUCUCAUUCUUGACCGUGAUUUAUGGUCCUUUAUGCUCAUAGACAUCUCAAAGAUGUGUUCAAUGUAUUCAGAUCGAGAAUGUCUUUGAUUCGAUCAAAACAAGCUAGAGAAGGAUGUACACAUGUUGGAGAUUGAUUGUAAAUAUGCUGGAAAAUGAUGUUAUUUGUAACAUCCCGCUUUUUCGAGACAUUAACUUACAAAAUUCUAAAUGUAAAAAUACAAAUUCAUUUUUAUUUAUUUAUGAUUAUCUUAAAUACCCAUUUACCUUAAUAUCAAUUAAUAAUAUUUUUAGUUAUAUUUUCAAAAAUAAUGAAUCAAAGUAUUUACAAUCACUAAAAGUAAAUUUAAUACGUUAAACAAAAGAAACUCAUAGAGCCAAAACUAUUGAUGUUUUACUACUCAAACAUAAAUCCUAGUUGGUAAUAAACUUUGGAGUUGUGGAAAACUCACCCAAUAAAUCUAACACCCCACAAAAGUACCUCAAAACCUCCAACUAUAUACUUCCUCGCAUUUCUCCUAUUAGGUUGACUAUAAGCUCAAGUAACACUAUAUGUGACGUCGUGUCAAAUGUAAGGGUCAUCUCUAAAAUAUUUUACCAAUAAAUAAAUAACAAUCAAAAUAAAACAGUACAUUACCUACUCAGCCAACAAAAAGGUACAAUAACAAUGAAAAUAUAACAGUACAAUGUUUACAUAAUUAAUAACAUUAAUUCACUCAAACGACCACCUACAGUGACGAUACGAAUAUAACAUUACGAUAUCUACAUAAUUAAUAACAUUAAUUCAUUCAUCCAAACGACUACGAGGUACAAUAACAAUAAAAAUAUAACAGUACGGUUAUAUUUUAUAAAAAUGAAGUGAUUAAUUUUAUAAAAAUGUCAUAGAUAAAUUAUUAGGAGUGCAACAAGACAAUCAAUAUCACCAAAUGAAUGUGUUAUUAUUUUAAUUUUCAAUGAAAAAUUAAUUGUUGUUUUUUAAGUUUAUUUUUUAAUUAAUAUAAUAUACCUUAUUCUUAAGUUACAAUGAGAAAAUAAUGUUACAAUGAGAAAAUAAUAUCUAAUGGUUGGGUGAUGAGUACUAAAUGACAAAAACUAAUUUUUUUGCCUAAAACAAACAUGACAAUUUUAGUGAUAAAAAUUAAUGUAGCGAGUUGAACAAAAUAAUAUGACAUGUAACAUUGUAAUCAAAAGGCAAGUUUAAGUGAAAGAUGGUUCAUCAUAUAUAAGUAGACCAUACUUUAUUUAACAUAGUAAGUGGGAAACAAAACAAUUCAUAGAUGCAUGUUUCUAGUUUUCAUGGAGAUUCCAUGUUUCCAUGUCCUCUUUUCCUACCUUUGUCUCCGUUAUCGGGGUUUCCUCGAUUGUCGUCUUCUUCAACGGGUGGCUCACUAUUGCCGUAUCCCAUGCCACCGCCACCAUAGUUGUAUGCCAUGCCCUGUACCCAUUCUGAUGCCCAACCCAAUGCCAAAUCUCUCAAAGUUCUCCAAUCUACAAACCUUCUUAUUAAAGUACUAUAUUCGGUUUCCUCAGCUGUCACAAUAGUCAUAAGAAGGGGAACACACAGAAAGAAUACUAAGAUAAAAAAUUUUGUUUUCAUCCUUGCUUAAAUUUCCUAAAGUUUGUUGUAAAAUAUGAAUAAUAUCCUCAAAUAUUUAUAGUGGUCACGCAUAGAAAAAAUAAGAUAAUUUUAAAAGACA